This 205-nucleotide long non-coding RNA is filed under the name Panax ginseng (ginseng). RNAcentral describes it as "long non-coding RNA (PGIN_LNC005651)". Lineage: Eukaryota; Viridiplantae; Streptophyta; Magnoliopsida; Apiales; Araliaceae. The record is from RNAcentral.
GUCUCUCCACAUGUCAGAAGCUAUACUAGUCCUCCAUUCAUUAGCAUUCUCUCAUUGUUGCUCUUGAGUUUCAAAAACUUGUUCCAAAUUAUCUCCUUGAUUGAGUGGUAACGAUGAAGAUAGUGAAGACUCGUUAUCUAGUUCAAUAUGAAAUUCAUCUGAACGACACUCCUUACGAAGAAAAUUGUGGAGUCCUACACAAGCU